AUUGAACGCUGGCGGCAGGCCUAACACAUGCAAGUCGAACGAGUGGCGGACGGGUGAGUAAUGUCUGGGAAACUGCCUGCUUGUGGGGGAUAACUACUGUACACGAUAGCUAAUACCGCAUACCAUCAGAUGUGCCCAGAUGGGAUUAGCUUGUUGGUGGGGUAACGGCUCACCAAGGCGACGAUCCCUAGCUGGUCUGAGAGGAUGACAAGCACCACUGGAACGGAGACACGGUCCAGACUACUAUGGGAGGCAGCAGAGGAGAAUAGUGCACUAUGGGCGGGAGGCUGAUGCGGCCAUGCCGCGUGUAUGAAGAAGGGAUUCGGGUUGUAAAGUAAUUCCAGCGUGGAGGCGUUACCCGCAGAAUAAGCACCGGCUAACUCCGUGCCAGCAGCCGCGGUAAUAC
RNAcentral lists this ribosomal RNA (406 nucleotides) under uncultured bacterium. Its description in RNAcentral is "partial 16S ribosomal RNA". It matches the Rfam family "Bacterial small subunit ribosomal RNA", at positions 30 to 526 of the family's 1533-position model. The record is from RNAcentral.